This is a long non-coding RNA of Grus americana (Whooping crane), 559 nucleotides long. RefSeq lists it as uncharacterized. The record is from RefSeq and is a predicted model, not a curated record. The transcript is spliced from 3 exons. Lineage: Eukaryota; Metazoa; Chordata; Aves; Gruiformes; Gruidae.
CAGCUCCAGUUCAGUUCUGGCCCCAGCUCAUUUGAGGUUCUGUCCCAGGACCAGCUCGUUUGCAGCUCCAGCCCAUGGAUGGCUCUGGCUCUUUUGCAGCUCCAGGUCCAGCUCCUGGACGGCUCCAGUUCAGUUCUGGCCCCAGCUCAUUUGUGGUUCCCAUCUCAGGCCCAGCUCGUUUGCAGCUCCAGCCCAUGGAUGACUCUUGAUCAUUUCAGCUCCAGUUGGUUGUGGUUCCAGCUCGUUUGCAGCUUCAGGUCCAGCUCCAGUUCAGUUUCGGUUCCAGCUCGUCUCCUCUCCAGUGCAGUUGGUCUCCAGCUCCAUUUGGUGCCUCAGCUUCACUCCAACUGAUUCCCAGUUCCGGGGUGUCUGUGCCUCCAGCUCCAGCCCAGUAGAGCUCGUGCUUGGUCCAGUGAUCCUGGCUUUUGGCCAGGCCGUAAAUCAAUCACUGUCACCUCUUGGAUAUGAAUAUGACCUGUCAUAACUGCGCGCGCGUUGAGUCAGUGGUUUGUGUUCGGUGUUUAUUACGUGUGUACCUUGAAUAAAGAGUUGGACGAAG